UCUGGCUGGCCUUGUCCUCUGGUGGUGACCUCUCAUUUGCCCCUAAAACAGUGGGGCUCUGUUCCUUCAUUCCUAUGGAAAAGAACUGGUCUUCAUGUCCAGGAACCAUGGCCAAAAUUAGAAUUGGCCACUGAGCCCGGCCGGGCUCACGGAACCAUCUGCAGCCCCGGGCAGAUAUUGACUCUGCCAGUGCUGCCAUCCUCCCUCCAGUGAGAGAAAAGGACACAGGGCAGGCACACAGAGGAGCAACAUGAAGACACCGAGGCAUUGAAAAGUAUGGGGAGAUGACUUGUUUCAGCAAAGGCCUCCACGCUAAAGUAAGCAAAUGUUGAAGUAGCUGAGAUCCCAUGAGAAGUUUGAACAGAGAAAGAGAGCAGAGUGAUGAGACCCUGUGCCCUCAGGGAGAGAAGAAGACCUCUGUUCCCAGAGAUGAUUUCAGAAGCAGUUGAAGAGAACCUCUGGUCUUGAACAGCUCAUCUUUAAACUAAUACCCCAUAAGCUGACAUGGCCCAUGACACACAGCUGUGGGAAAAGCUGUGAAAAAAUGGCAGGGAUUUCACUAUUUCACUUUUUCCGAGUGGCUGCUAUUCAUGGAACUUGAGAACCACAAGAGAACUGUUUCCUUAUGGAGAAGCCUCCAUAGCAAGAAAAAGAGACUCCUCUCCCUAAGUGAAGUGAAGAAGGACUAUUCUAGAGGUGGUAGACUGGCUGAAAAUUUUAGGUUUUGUCUCCUUACGUUGUCAAUAAGGAAGAAAAAUUUGUGGCGAGAAGAAGAGUGUUCUGAAAGUUUUGUGCUGAUUCUUAUUACUCUUUCUUUUAGUUACUGCUAAUAAACUUUUCUUUAUGC
Molecule: non-coding RNA, 847 nt
Organism: Taeniopygia guttata (zebra finch)
Lineage: Eukaryota; Metazoa; Chordata; Aves; Passeriformes; Estrildidae
Source: RefSeq, a predicted model, not a curated record